CCUUAUUUGAUUUUCUUCGGAACUGAAGAUUUGGUGAUUGAGUGGCGGACGGGUGAGUAACGCGUGGGUAACCUGCCCUGUACAGGGGGAUAACAGUCAGAAAUGACUGCUAAUACCGCAUAAGACCACAGCACCGCAUGGUGCAGGGGUAAAAACUCCGGUGGUACAGGAUGGACCCGCGUCUGAUUAGCUGGUUGGUGAGGUAACGGCUCACCAAGGCGACGAUCAGUAGCCGGCUUGAGAGAGUGAACGGCCACAUUGGGACUGAGACACGGCCCAAACUCCUACGGGAGGCAGCAGUGGGGAAUAUUGCACAAUGGGGGAAACCCUGAUGCAGCGACGCCGCGUGAGUGAAGAAGUAUCUCGGUAUGUAAAGCUCUAUCAGCAGGGAAGAAAAUGACGGUACCUGACUAAGAAGCCCCGGCUAACUACGUGCCAGCAGCCGCGGUAAUACGUAGGGGGCAAGCGUUAUCCGGAAUUACUGGGUGUAAAGGGUGCGUAGGUGGUAUGGCAAGUCAGAAGUGAAAACCCAGGGCUUAACUCUGGGACUGCUUUUGAAACUGUCAGACUGGAGUGCAGGAGAGGUAAGCGGAAUUCCUAGUGUAGCGGUGAAAUGCGUAGAUAUUAGGAGGAACAUCAGUGGCGAAGGCGGCUUACUGGAC
Molecule: ribosomal RNA, 662 nt
Filed under: uncultured Lachnospiraceae bacterium
Lineage: Bacteria; Bacillati; Bacillota; Clostridia; Lachnospirales; Lachnospiraceae
Description: bacterial SSU rRNA
Rfam family: Bacterial small subunit ribosomal RNA
Source: RNAcentral